Molecule: long non-coding RNA, 1986 nt
Organism: Oreochromis niloticus (Nile tilapia)
Lineage: Eukaryota; Metazoa; Chordata; Actinopteri; Cichliformes; Cichlidae
Source: Ensembl
CUUCGGUGAAGUCUGCUGUCAAGUUACUGGACACGUGGUAUUUGCACAACACUUCUGAAUCCGCAGCUUCGGUGUUUUAAGGCUGUUUCGAUAUGGAGAAGAAGUGGGAAGAGAUUUACGCGUUUAUUUCUGCUGGCUCCUACCCUUCAGGAUAUGACAAGGCUCAAAGGCAAAACCUCAGAAGAUAUGCCUCAAAAUUCAAACAAAAGGAUGGAGAACUCUUUGUUGGAACCAGAAGAGUAGUAAAAACCAUGGAUGAUGCCAGGAAGAUAUUUCAUGAGUUUCAUUCAUCUCCAAUUGGAGGACACACUGGCAUACACAAAACGCUCAGUGCAGUGUGUUCCAGAUUUUACUGGUUUGGUAUGACAGUUGACAUUAAAACAUGGGUAUGUAUUAACUGUUUGCAUUGUUGUUAAAUGCCGUUUAAAAUAAGCAAUUUUUUUUUAUAUUAGUUAAAAGAGAAACUGUACAUUUGCAAAAUAUAAAUAAAUAUGGUUAAUUAGUGAUAUUACAGUAUUAACCUGUAGGCCUGGCAGAGAUUUGAAGACACACACAAAGUAUUGUUGCUAAAUUGUUUGUUCGUUAGAGAAUAUGUCAUUAAGUGAUUUUUUUUUUUAUUAUUAUUAUUAUUUUAAUAAAUGAGAAUGUUGAACAUUUACGUGAACUCCAUAAAUUUUUUUACCUUAAAGAUUCUGGAAUGUGAUCAGUGUCAAAAAGUUGGGAAACCACUGACUGCUGUGCAACCGUUGCAGUGUAUUCAGGUAAAUAUUAUGCCCCUUUUACCCAUCAAACUAUGCUUCUAGCUCAUAUUCAUAAAGGCAGGAGGGUUUGCCAACUAAUUUUAACCAUCGAUGUUAAUGUGUACAUUAUACAAAUUGUUAUUCAAAUUAUUAAUUUGUCCUUGAUAGGUGUCUGAAGUGUGGGAACUUAUUGGUAUAGAUCUUACUGGACCUCUUCCUAAAACGUCAAGCGGCUUCCAGUAUAUACUUACUGCAACUGACUACUUUUCAAAAUGGGUUGAAGCUUUCCCAUUAAAAACGAAAUCUGCAUCUGAGGUAGCCCAGCACUUGUGCUCCAUUAUAUAUAGACAUGGCUGCCCCAAAAGGAUUUUGUCAGACCAAGGCAGAGAGUUUGUGAAUGAAGUAAGUGUUAAAUAAUUUUCAGUUACAUUUUUUAACUUUACUUCACUGGGGUCAAAGAUUUUUUUCUUGUGUGCUUGUAUAAGAAGUAUAAGAACCUUGUCCUUAUCUGUUGAAGCUCAACUCUAAUCUUUGCAAGUUAUUGCAAACUGAAAGAAGUGUCACAGCAGCAUACCAUCCACAGACCAAUGGUCUAGAUGAAAAGACCAAUGACAACAUAAAAAGGUAUGCCUAAUUUUUAUCUAUCAGUUUUUAAUAACAUUACUUAUGUUAUUCAAACUUAAUUGUUACUUAAUAAUUUAUUAAUUUCUUUACUUCUAAUUAAACUUUCAUUAGUGUCUUUACAUAUUUCUAUGCCUGCAUUUAGAGCCCUCCGAAAACUGGUGAAUGACCAGCAGAAUAACUGGGAUCUGUAUCUAGAUCCCACCCUGUUUUCACUGCGGUCAAAAGUACAUACCACAACAUUUUACUCACCUUUUUUUCUGAUGUAUGGAAGAGAGGCAGUAUUUCCAUCAGAAGUGCCUGCUCAAGUGCCGGUGAGUGUUUGUCAAAUUCUUUCUAUGUUAGAACUAAGAAUUGAAACCAUUUAAGUAAAAAACCCAGUAAUGUCUUUAUGAAUAUGAUAUCAUCUUGUUUUAAUUGCUGAUAUCUACAAAAUUUUAGAUUUCCAACAUCAUUCUGCCAGACGACAAAAGGUACAGUGACUAUGUACAGUCUGAAAGUGAAGCACAACAUGCAGUUAAAGAAACUGCACAAGAAAACAUUGCGAAGUCACAAGACAAGCAAAAGGUUGCAUACGCCGAGCGGGUCCUGAAAAAGUGCAAAAAUGUUGUGUACAAUGUAGGCG